UCCGCUUCGCCCGAAGUUGCGGGAGCCGGAGCCCCGCGGCGGUCUGGGGCGGCGCGACGCGCGGCAGCCCGAGAAGGACUGUCCUCGGGCAACUGGCUCCGGGAAACAGAAGAAACUGGCUAGAUGUAUAGAUGAAAGCACUAGUCCUUCUUCCUAGCAUGGAGAAGACUUCCUAACGUGGAGAAGACUUCCUAGCAUGGAAAAGACCCUUAGGUUUUGGCCUAAGGGAUGAUGAGCAAGGAGCUGAAGGGCACCUCCUUGUAGGUCUGGUCAUGAUCAUCUCUGCUCUUUCUCCUUAUACUUCGUAAGAGUAAAGACCACAUGUUGAAGUCAGCAGAGCUACAAGACAGAAGGAGCCAAGGUCCUGGAGUCAUUGGCUGGCUGAGUGCCAGGGGGAGUAUAACCCAAGUGAUGAUAUAACAUAAGCAAAACAUAAACUUUUGUGGUGUUAAAUCCCUGAGAUACUGGGUUUCUUAUUACAUUUCCUAGUGUUAAUUUCCUGACUGUUACACUUCUCCAUGGAUUUAAACUGCACACUAUACUACAAACUGUUCUUUGUACUUUUUAAAACCAGGCUUAUUGUGAUUAUGAUUGACUUACAAUUAACUGCACAGAUUUAAAGAAUACUACUUGAUAAGUCUUGACAUAUUUGUAUACCCAUGAACUAUGGCCACAGUCAAUAUAGCAAACAUCUCUAUCUCCCUUUGGAGUCUCCUCAUUCCUCUUUGAAAUCCCUCCCCUCUUAUUUCUCCUUGCCCUCCUACCCCCAUACAACCACUCGUCCAUUUUGUCACUGUGAGUCAGUUUGCUUUCCCAGAAGCCUAUAUAAAUGUACUGAUGUACUCUUUUUAUCUAGCAUCUUUCACUUCGCAUAAUGAUUUUGGAUUCAUCUAUUUUGAUGAGUGUUAUCAAUAGCUUGUUCCUUUUCAUUGCUGAAUAGUAUUUUAAUAAUAGCACUGUCUGAGUGGAUAAACAGUGGGUAAACACAUUUGUUUAUCCAUUUUUCUGUAGAUGAACAUCUGGGUUGUCUUUUGGAUUAAUCCAAGGACAUUUUUUCUCUUGUGUUUUCUUUUAGAAUUUUUCUGGUGUUAGCUCUUACAUUUAGCCCUAUCCAUUUACACUAUCCUAAUCCAAUGGUAUAGGGUAUGAGUUGUAGUUCAUAUUUUUGCUAUGGAUAUGGCUAUCCAACUGUUCUAGCACCAUUUCUUAAAAAAAAAUUAUUCUUUCCCUAUGGAAUUGCCUUGGCAUCCUUGUUAAAAAUCAAUUGGCUAUACAUAUGUGAGUCUAUUUCUGGACUCUAUCCUGUUCCAUUGAUGUAUUGCUUUAUAUAUAUAUAUACAAAUCUACAUUGAUGUAUAUCUUUACACCAAACUCACACUGUUUAGAUUAUUUUAACUUUCUAAAAACUUAAAAUCAAGUCAUUUAGGAUUUUCACCUUGUUUCUUAAUUUUCAAAAUUGUUUUGAUUAUUCUAAAUCUUUUGUAAUUCUUUGUAAAUUUUAGAUUCGGCUUAUACAUUUCUACAAAAAAAAGUCUUGCUGGAAUUACAUGGGAAUUGGGUUGAAUCUGUAGGCCACGUUGGGAUGAACUGUUAUCUAACAAUGUUGAGCCCUCCAAUCCAUGAACUUGGUAUAUAUCUCCUUUUGUUUAGGUCUUCUUUAAUUUCUCUCAGCAGUGUUUUGUUAGUUUUCAGCGCAUGGGCCUUGCACAACUCAUAUAAUUUAUCUCUAAGUAUUUCAUAUUAUUUAAUGCAAUGGUGUCUUAUCUCAGGCUGCUCUAACAAAAUACCAUAAACUGAGUGGUUUAUCAACAAACAAAAAAGUUUAUUUCUCACAGUUGUGGAAGCUAAAAGUCCAAUGUCAUGGUGUCAGCAUGGUUGGGUGAAAGCCUUCUCCCCAAUUCCAGUUGACUGACUUCUCGUAUCCUCACAUUGCACAGAGAGAGAGCACUCCAGCUCUGGUCCCUUUAUCACCUUAUCAGUACACAAAUCUCACUCAUGAGAGUUCUACCUCCACAACCUAAUAACCUCCCAAAGGCCCCACCUCCAAAUACCAUCCCAUUGGAGGUUAAAUUUCAACACAUGAAUUCUGGGGAGACACAAGCAUUCAGUGCACAACAAAUAAUAAAUCACAUUCUAAUUUAUUUUCUGGUUGUUCAAUGAUAGUUAUAUAGAAAUAAAAUUGAUUUUCAUACACUGUUUUUUUUUUUUUUUUUUUUUUUUUUUUUUAGUAAUCUCUGCAUCCAAUGUGGGGCUCAAACUCAUGACCCUGAGAUCAAGAGUCACAUGUCUUCUGACUGAGCCAGCCAGGAGCCCCAAUAUACUGAUCUUAUAUCCUACAACCUUGCUAUAUUCACUUAUAAGGUUUUGUCACCUUUUCACAGUUUAGGAUUUUCUACAGAGACAAUGCUGUCUGUUAAUAAACAUAGUUUGAUUUUUUCCCUUUUAUAUCAGUAUGUCUUUAAUUUCCAUUUCUUGUCUUUUGCCCUGGCUAGGGCCUCUAAAAGAAAAUGUUAAAUAGAUGUAGUGAAAGUGCACAUCCUUGAUGGUUCCUGAGCUUGGAAAUAAUUCAGUCUUUUCACCAUUAAGUAUGAUUUUAGCUGUAGAUUUUUAAUAGAUGCCCUUAAUCAGGCUGAAGAAGUUUCCAGUGAUUCCUGGUUUGCUGCGAGUUUGGUUUGUUUUUUUUUUAGAAAACCAUGUUCGAAUGCAGAAUUUUGACAGAUGCUUUUUCUGAUAUUCAUAGGGUUUUUCUUUUUUAGUUGUUCAAUUUGGUGAAGAAAUAGUUGAUUUUUAAAUUUUUAAAUAGACAUUAAAACACCUCCUUGCAUUCCUGGCAUAAACUCUACUUCAUUGUGAUGUAUUAUCUGCUAUUUAUCCCAUUCAGUGUAUUUUUUAAAUCUCAAACACUGUAUAUUUCAUCUCUAAAGUUUGAUUUGGGUCUUUUUGUCUUCCGUUUUCCUCUUCAUCAUUCUCAUGCUUUCUUCUACCUCUUGAGCAUAUGGGGUAUGUUUAUAAUAGCUGUUUUAAUGUCCUGCUCUACUAAUUUUGUCAUUUAUGUCAUUUCUGGCUCUGCUCUUACUGCUUGCAUAGUCUCCUUCCUCUGAGCCACUUUUGCCUGCUACUCUGCUAUUUUUGGUUAGAUGCCAGAUAUUGUGAAUUUUACCUUUUGAGUUCUAUUGGUCUUGUUUGUUUGUGUAUUAUAAUAUAUCCCUUUAAGUAUUUUUUACUUUGUUCUGGAACCCAGUUAAGUAAAUUGAAAAUGUCUGAUCCA
Molecule: long non-coding RNA, 3268 nt
Organism: Leopardus geoffroyi (Geoffroy's cat)
Lineage: Eukaryota; Metazoa; Chordata; Mammalia; Carnivora; Felidae
Exons: 2
Source: RefSeq, a predicted model, not a curated record